This 466-nucleotide ribosomal RNA is filed under the name uncultured bacterium. RNAcentral describes it as "partial 16S ribosomal RNA". It matches the Rfam family "Bacterial small subunit ribosomal RNA", at positions 28 to 507 of the family's 1533-position model. The record is from RNAcentral.
GAUGAACGCUGGCGGCGUGCUUAACACAUGCAAGUCGAACAAUGAAGCCCAGCUUGCUGGGUGGAUUAGUGGCGAACGGGUGAGUAACACGUGAGUAACCUGCCCUUAACUCUGGGAUAAGCCUGGGAAACUGGGUCUAAUACCGGAUAGGAGCGUCCACCGCAUGGUGGGUGUUGGAAAGAUUUAUCGGUUUUGGAUGGACUCGCGGCCUAUCAGCUUGUUGGUGAGGUAAUGGCUCACCAAGGCGACGACGGGUAGCCGGCCUGAGAGGGUGACCGGCCACACUGGGACUGAGACACGGCCCAGACUCCUACGGGAGGCAGCAGUGGGGAAUAUUGCACAAUGGGCGAAAGCCUGAUGCAGCGACGCCGCGUGAGGGAUGACGGCCUUCGGGUUGUAAACCUCUUUCAGUAGGGAAGAAGCGAAAGUGACGGUACCUGCAGAAGAAGCACCGGCUAACUACGUG